Molecule: non-coding RNA, 4625 nt
Organism: Caretta caretta (loggerhead turtle)
Lineage: Eukaryota; Metazoa; Chordata; Testudines; Cheloniidae
Source: RefSeq, a predicted model, not a curated record
CGUGCCAGGGCAGGGGGCGGCGAGUCCAAAGUACGAAACAACAACCACCGCCCGACCCGCAGGGGAAAGCGGAACGGGGUUCCAGAGAAGUGUGUUCGGAGGUCCAUGGUAAUGUUCCCUGCAGGAACUAUACCACAGAGAGGGGAAUCUGAAGAUUUCUCAGGUGUGAAGAAGGAGGGAUUUGGAAGAAGAGAAAGUUUGGUGCAAAGAAGAGGGGAAAAGUUCCAACCACAAAAAGUGGCAAGGAAGAAGAUGCGGAGACCAGAUGGAAAGUGAUGCAUAGGAGGAACACAGGCCAUGGAAAAGUGAGUUGGAGGAAGUGCAAGUAGAUGUGCAAGCAGGAGGAAGAUUGUUGAGGCAAAGAUGAAAAGUUUGAACAUGAAAUUGAUGUUGAGAAGCAAGUGAAGGAUUCACAGCUGGGACAACUUGCUAGAGCAGUGGAGAAGGAAUAUUACUCAAAAUGCUGCUGCUGAAACAGAACGGGGCAAAGUGAGAAACAGGACAGCCAGUUACAAACACUUUUAUGAAGGCUGGCACACAACAUGUCUGCACAGCCCUUCCAGAAGGCCACACUGCCAUGCUCUAACAUUCCUUUCAACUCUUUGUGGUUUUUCAGUUUUCCCCACACUCCUGGGUGGGAACACACACACACAAAGAUUUUCAAAAAGUAGUGCUUACAAUUAGACUCCUAAAUCUAUAUUUAGACACUUAAAUUGGCUUGAUUUUUUUUUAAUCACCCAGCAGUUCCUUUUGCAGAUUUGCAUGCCAGUAAGCUGAGAGGCAUGCCACAUGCUUUUUGGUUGAGCCCAUUUAUUGUUGGCUUUUGUUGCUUCUCUACCACAUUACCCACAGCCAAAAGGAGGUACAUGAUAUUCUUCUCUGUGCUACCGUACUGAUGUAUACAGAUGGUCUCAUAAGUUUUUUUUUUUUUUUUUUAACUACUGUUUACUUUUGAAAGAUCUCAUCCAGACUACUUUUUGCUGCUGGGCUUCAGCAAUCUUUGGAGGGCCCCUAUGGUAACAUAACAGCUGUAAACCCACACUGAAGCUGUGGUUGUACCAGGCCGCCCUCCUUUUUGUCUCAUUAGCUCAAAUGACAGGUCUGUGUGGUGGAGCUAUAGGCUGGUAACCCAUGUGGGUGUUAAUACAACUCCACCCAACAGAACUGUUUUUUAGGUUGUUUUUAUAAAAAAAAAUAGGAAAUUACACAUGAAAUACUAUGAUAAAAGAACAUUAAGAUUGUAAAUUCAAGCAGUUAAAAAUUGGGAAAUGCCAGAAUUAAGGUCACCCAUGUGAACUUAAUUCAGCACCUGUGUGCAUGUGAAUUAUGAUACUCUUUAAUUGCAUACUUUUUCCCUGCCUGAUCCCUGCCUCAUUCAGUGCACAGGAUGGAGCUGCUCUGGGGAUGAAGCAGGGCUGUAGGAUCCCUUCUUCCACUGCUGCAGAAAUUGGAAGGUGUGUAGAGAAUGAAGCAGAGGAUUACAAGAUGAGAAAGGACUGUCUCAUAGAAGCCAGGCCAGGUUCUGCUGGAACCCUGCCUACAAGGCAAGUUUCCUUUGGAACCCUGUCUGAUUUCCUAGCAGCUCAUCCAUCCAGCUCCUUGGCAAUCUGCCUGCCAGCCUGCUGGGGAGCCCAACCUUCUGUGGUCUGCAGCAGCCCACCAGGCAGAUUGUUCCAGAGUCAGGGACCACAGGGCUUCCAGGGUCUGUGGCUCUGGGCUAGUCCAUUAGGUGACCUGCCCUGGAACUGGGGCUCCAUUCCUUUUCUCUAGAAAUUUUCAAAAAUUGUUGGUCAUUCUGAACCUAAGCUAAACCAAACUUUGAAAUAUUGAAAUCCUUUGUAAAACGGAAUUCUCUUUCUCUGCUAGACUCAACUUCAAAGAUACAAAAGGGGAGUGUAUAGGGGUUCCACUCACCAUAGCUGCACCUCCUCGUGGCUGGGUCCGGGAAUUAGUUUUUGCCCAUCUGGUACGCCCAUCUGGUACUCCCUUCUGCCAGUUGUUCAUGCUGUACCUCCCUCCCCACUCCUCCGUGUGACUCAGGGUGCUCCCUUUUCAUGACUUGGCCCCCCAGCCAAGUCACUAUGUAGUCUCCUUCUGUUCCCCUUCCAGGAUAACAAAAUCCCACCCAAAAAGCUGUCCGUAUGCCAUCUCAGGCAGUCUUCUGUUUCAACUCCAGGUCCUAUGCUGAUAUGGGAACUUGGCUUCACCCUCUAUUCUGGGUCCCAGUCCAGGGACUCCGUGACUAGCAGCCUAGGUCUGCUCAGUCUCAGACCCCAUUGUUUGCCUGGGCUCUUUCCAACCCCACCUCUCUAUCUCUGUGUUUUCCUCUGGAACAUCCUCCUCUCCCUUUGGUCCAGACUCCCCAGGGCUUCCUAUUCCCCUAGAUUGUCUCCUUCGUGCUGGCCAAUUCCCUUUCCUUCUAGGGAGUGACUGCAAAACUCCUCUCUACAGCCCCUUCCUGCUCUUGCUUUCUAGCUUUAUUACCUGCCCCCAAGGUGGGCUUCAUCUGCCAUUAGUACUUAUCAAGCCCUGGCUUUCCUCCAGAUGCAGCAUAUGAGGUUAAUUCAACCUAUCUGUCCCACAUUAAUAUACUCAGGGCUUGUGUGGGGGUGGCCACCCCAUCACAGGAAGAGCAGAAGCCUAGAGAUUGGGCAUAUUUCUCCUUUUUAUUUACAAUGGAAUUGUAUCAGUAUAACAGAGUAUAAUUGGGGCCAUUAGUGUUCCCUUAGAAAAGAUUUUAAGACAGUGAGAAGUAUCUGUCAGAGAUGGAAUUAUUUUGACUUAAUCAUUUAUUUUUAAAGAUGGGUCCCAGGAUACGCAACUGGAUUGUUAAAGGGGAUAAGCUGAUAUGUUUUUAUUUAACAUGAAAUUACUGAAAAUCCUUCUUUUAAAAAAGACUCAAAGACAAAGUUAUUGCUUCACACAUUAGUAGAUCAAUAUAUCAGACUUUUGGCACAGCUUUUGAAGAUAACUGGCAUUCUCUACUUUUUUUGUAAAAAUUAGUUACAAAUCAAAGCUGUAUAUAUGUGCUUCCUUACUAUUUCUUAUGUAGUAUGUUAUUGACAAGAAUAAGGAAAGUAUUCUUUAAAAAUCACUAGACAGACACUAAGUAUACUUAUUAAAAUAGGAAUAUAUAUUUUAAAAAGUAGGGUCAUUAUCUCCCCUUCUUACAUAAGUAGUACUCGACUUCUCUUCAAAACUUGGUUCUAGAGGAAUUCCUGUUGCAGUGCAUUUCUCCCUUGGAAGCUGAGGGCUGUUGACAGUGCAGCCCAGGCUGGGGAGUGAGGCCAUUCAACCACACAUAAACCUGAUGUCCAUGGGAACAACCUGGCCUGACCUAUGUGGAAUUGGUUUCUGCAGGGCUCACACACCAGCACUGACAGCUGUGAUUUUGCUAUUAGCCCCCAACAGUGCUCAUGCAACCCCUUGAAACUUAUGUGGCCCCACCAUAGUAUGAAAGCUCCUCCCAAAUAUUUAAAAAUAGAGUAAUUAUUUCUCACUUUCUCUUCCUUCCCAGUCUGGAGGAAAAAUUAAUUAGUUUGUAUGUGUAUAGAGUGGAAGAGACGUUCAGUGAAGAUUAAGUCAAGCCUUUUUCUUUCUGGCUUGUGUUCAUACAUUAUCCCCAGUAAUGAUGACUCUUCAGGCCAAAUGCUGCGUGCACUUGCACCAGUGCCACCUUAUUGCCUUCCAGUUGUUUACAGAUGUAUAACGGAGGGUACAAUUUGAAAAUAAUGGGUUCACACAGAUGUCCUGUAAUUGGAAUUCAACGAUUCCAUUCAUGUUGCACAAACCAGAAUAUAAUCCAGUUUCUUCUCCCACAGCUGUGAUGGCUCAGCCGGGAAGACAUUUAAUGAACUCUUCCUUUUUUCACUGAAGUACACAGGGAAUAGAUUUGCCGAGUAAGAAGGUGCUAUUUUUACACAGUCCCUUUUCAAAUGAGACCUGCACUUUAAACACAUUGAGCAAUCUGAACUAAGCAGCCUGUCAAACAUCACUCCUAAGGCUGCACAACAGUGCAUGCAAGAAACUGUGCUUUAGGUCAGUUAAAUAAUUUAAAAGCUUCCCCCUUAUCCAUUUUGCUUUGGGCUAGCUGCAACAUUUACUGGGAGCUGAGAACAUUUCUUCAUAUUUCUCAGGCUAGCCAUGCAGAAAGCAUUUAGUUUGUUAGGUUUUACCAGUGUUUGGCAAUAUGCUUCUCUCUUUUUGCAUACAUGCAGUGUAGGGAUUGUUGCAAAAAUCUAGAAUUAUCUGCAUACUGAUGGAAAUAUUCCUUCUGUGUUUUUAAAUCUCUCAUAUCCAGCCCUAUUAUUAUAGUAACUCAACACCUCAUAAUCUUUAGUACAUUUUCCCUCCAACACCCCUGAGAAGUAGGGGAGGUCUGUUUUCCUUAGCUCAUUCCCCCAUAUAUUUAAGCCUGUAGUGGAUCAGGGAACCUGUAGUGGACCCUUGGACCAGCCUUCCUCUCCUGAACACAAAAAGAUGUUGCAGGGUGCUGUUAGUGUACUUGUGUGUGACUAAAGGUUAGAACUCUCAGUAACUCCUCUUACAGCCUUUAUCUUUCAGUCAGCGUAACAAAGUUUUAAAAGUCUAUUAAUAUUUUUUGUUUACAAUUUCAAAGAGUUGUG